Molecule: long non-coding RNA, 222 nt
Filed under: Mytilus galloprovincialis (Mediterranean mussel)
Lineage: Eukaryota; Metazoa; Mollusca; Bivalvia; Mytilida; Mytilidae
Source: RNAcentral
UAAUAAAACAAGAGUGCACACACUGAAAUGUCUCGCCUUCUUUACUAAUCAUUGAUAUUAUGUUGAUAGUCCUAAGUAUAAAGCUUUAUUACAACUGUCACAUAAACUUAACAUUAACCAAGAUAGCUAAAUAAAGACCAAUGAACCAUGAAAAUGAGGUCAAGGUCAGAUGAACCAUGCCAGGCAGACAUGUACAGCUAACAAAGCUUCCAUACAACAAAU